CUAAGAAUCUUCCGCAAUGGGCGAAAGCCUGACGGAGCGACGUCGCGUGGAUGAAGAAGGUCGAGAGAUUGUAAAAUCCUUUUCUGUGAGAGGAAUAAGGUGGGGAGUGGAACGCCCUACUGAUGACGUUAACACAGGAAUAAGCUCCGGCAAAUUACGUGCCAGCAGCCGCGGUGAUACGUAAGGAGCGAGCGUUGUUCGGAAUUAUUGGGCGUAAAGGGUGCGUAGGCGGUUUAAUAAGUCUGUAAUCAAAGACUCGGGCUCAACUCGAGGUCGGUUAUGGAAACUGUUAAACUAGAAUCUUUCAGGGGAAGCUAGAAUUUCUGGUGUAGGGGUGGAAUCUGUUGAUAUCAGAAAGAAUACCAAAGGCGAAGGCAGGCUUCUAGGAAAUGAUUGACGC
RNAcentral lists this ribosomal RNA (400 nucleotides) under uncultured bacterium. RNAcentral's name for it is "bacterial SSU rRNA". It matches the Rfam family "Bacterial small subunit ribosomal RNA", at positions 355 to 746 of the family's 1533-position model. The record is from RNAcentral.